AGCUAGCCCUGAUGGUAACGGAAAUCCUAUUGCUUUUUUUUAAUAGAUGAAAAAGCAAUAGAUUGUAAUGGACAGCAGGUUCCCGG
Molecule: small RNA, 86 nt
Filed under: Epilithonimonas arachidiradicis
Lineage: Bacteria; Pseudomonadati; Bacteroidota; Flavobacteriia; Flavobacteriales; Weeksellaceae
Description: Chryseobacterium arachidiradicis Flavo-1 RNA
Rfam family: Flavo-1 RNA
Source: RNAcentral